RNAcentral lists this long non-coding RNA (399 nucleotides) under Fukomys damarensis (Damara mole-rat). RNAcentral describes it as "lncRNA (ENSFDAG00000026020.1)". Lineage: Eukaryota; Metazoa; Chordata; Mammalia; Rodentia; Bathyergidae. The record is from RNAcentral.
AAUCUUUCCGCAGAGCAGCGAAGCUGGGUCUCCUUUCUCUGGGAACUGCAGUGGAACGGGCUAGGCAGUCCCCACCGUGAAGACCGUGGAGGAGAGCAGGCCCACAGGGAAAAGACUGGUAUUGUGUUCCUGCUGGAGCCCUACAGGCUGCUAGGAAAGUGUCCAGAGGGAAAGCUGUGGGUUGAAUGACUAGGAAAGGCUCCAGAAAGAGGCACCCCACCCCCAAAUGCCAGACAAGUACCCCACGUUUGCCGGAGCAGCCCGGCGCCACCCGAACUAGUGCCAAAGCCGCCCUCCAGAGCUUUUGCGCUGUACCUCUCUCUUCUGCCCAGUUGGCAGUGUGACCCUCCUACCAAUCACAGAACAAAAUCCGUGUUCUUUCUCCAGCCUGGAGUCAUU